CGUAGCUCAGUUGGAUAGAGCGUCUGCCUCCGGAGCAGAAGGUCGUGGGUUCGACUCCCGCCG
Molecule: transfer RNA, 63 nt
Filed under: human gut metagenome
Also listed under: 1 other name
Rfam family: tRNA
About the family: Transfer RNA (tRNA) molecules are approximately 80 nucleotides in length. Their secondary structure includes four short double-helical elements and three loops (D, anti-codon, and T loops).
Source: RNAcentral